CGGGUGAGUAACGCGUGGGUAACCUGCCUCAUACAGGGGGAUAACAGUUAGAAAUGACUGCUAAUACCGCAUAAGCGCACAGUGUCACAUGACACAGUGUGAAAAACUCCGGUGGUAUGAGAUGGACCCGCGUCUGAUUAGCUAGUUGGUAGGGUAACGGCCUACCAAGGCGACGAUCAGUAGCCGACCUGAGAGGGUGACCGGCCACAUUGGGACUGAGACACGGCCCAA
This 231-nucleotide ribosomal RNA is filed under the name uncultured Bacillota bacterium. Its description in RNAcentral is "uncultured Firmicutes bacterium partial 16S ribosomal RNA". It matches the Rfam family "Bacterial small subunit ribosomal RNA", at positions 103 to 334 of the family's 1533-position model. The record is from RNAcentral. Lineage: Bacteria; Bacillati; Bacillota.